CGCGGUUAUAAUGAGACUAAGGCUUCAGUUAAGGCAGAUGCGUCGCUGGUACCCUGUGACGGAAUAGGGCGUUCCCUAUUCUUCCAAAAUAACGAAGUCAAGAUACUUAACUUCUCUGGGCCCCAAUUUUAUCAAACUUAAAAUGCUGACCAUGUUGCCUGCUGUACGUGGAUCAUGGAGCGAUUUUGGGACUUAAUUGAGGCUUGCCAACAGCAUUUUUCAAAGAGCUAGAACAAACAUUCCUAAAACUUGUAUGGAACCACAAAGACCUCAAAUAGCCAAAGCAACUUUGAAGAAGAAAUUUGCAAAGCUGGAGGCAUCACAGUUUCAAACUUCAAGUUAUAUUACAAAGCUGUGGUAAUCAAAACAGUAUGGUACUGGCAGAAAAAUAGAUACUAGCUCAAUGGAACAGAAUAGAAAACCUAGAAAUGAAUCCACAACUAUAUGGUCAAUUGAUCUUUGACAAAGCAGGAAAGAAUAUCCAAGAGAAAAAGACAGUCUUUUCAACAAAUGGUAUUGGGAAAACUGGACAGCAACAUGUGAAAAUGCAACUGGACUACUUUCUUACACCAUACACAAAAAUAAAUUCAAAAUGGAUGAAAGACCUAAAUGUAAGACAGGAAACCAUCAAAAUCCUAGAAGAGGCAAUAACCUCUUUGACGCUGGCCAUAGCAACUUCUUUCUAGGUAUGUCUUUGGAGGCAAGGGAAACAAAAGCAAAAAUAAACUAUUGUAACUUCAUUAAACUAAAAAGCUUCUGCACAGCAAAAGAACUCAUGAACAAAACUAAAAGUCAGCCUGCAGAAUGGGAGAAGAUAUUUGCAAAUGACAUACCCAAUAAAAGGUUAGUAUCCAAAAUCUAUUAGAAAUUUAUCAAACUCAGCACCCCAAGCAGUUAUAACCCAGUUAAAAGUGGCAGAAGACAUGAAUAGGCAUUUUUCCAAAGAGGCCAACAGACACAGGAAAAGAUACUCAACACCACUCAUCAAAUGAAAUGCAAAUCAAAACUCCAGUAAGACAUCAUCACCUCAUACCUGUCAGAGUGGCUGAAAUCAACAACACAAGAAACAACAGGUAUUGGCAAGGAUAUGGAGAAAGGGGAAUACCGUUGCACUGUUGGUGGGAAUGCAAACUGGUGCAGCCACACUGGAAAACAGUAUGGAGGUUCUUCAAAAAGUUAAAACCACCCUAUGAUCCAGCAGUUGCAUUACUAGAUAUUUACCCAAAGAAUACAAAGAUCCUAAAUCAAAGAGGUAUAUGCACCCUGAUGUUUAUAGCAGCAUUAUCUACAUGAGCCAAAGUAUGGAAGCAGCCCAAAUGUCUAUUGAUUGAUGAAUGGAUAAAAAAGAUGUGGUGUGUAUUGCUACAUAUAUGUAUAUAUAUAUACAUAUAUACACACAUAUAUUUAUACACACAUAUAUUGGUAUAUUAUUCAACCAUAAAAAAGAAUGAAAUCUUGCCAUUUGCAAUGACAUGGAUGGAGCUACAGAGUAUUAUGCUAAGCAAAGUAAGUCAGAGAAAGACAAAUACCAUAUGAUUUCACUCAUAUGUGGAAUUUAAGAAACAAAAUGAGCAAAGGAAAGAAAGAGAGAGGCAAUCCAAGAAAGAGACUCUUAACUAUAGAGAACAAAACCUAUGGUUAUCAGAAGGGAAGUAGGUGGAGGGAAUGGGUUAAAUAGAUGAUGAGGAUUAAGGAAUGUACUUGUGAUGAGCACUGGGUGAUGUAUGGAAGUGUUGAAUCACUAUAUCAUACCUAAAACUAUUAUUACACUGUUUGUUAACUAAGAAAUUUAAAUAAAAACUAAAAAAAAGAGUAUACCCUCCCCCCUCCAAAAAAAACCUUCUGUGCUUCAAAGGGUAGCAUCAAGGAAGUGAAAAGACAGUCUACAGAAUAGGAGAAAAUAUUUGCAAAUCAUCUAUCUGCUAAGGAACUUAUAGCCAGAAUGUAUGAAGAACUCUCACAAUUCAGCCACAAAAAGACAAAUAAUCCAAUUAGAAGACAGCAAAGGAUUUGAAUAGAUGCUUCUUUAAAGAAGACACAUGAAUGGCCAAUAAUCACACAAAAAAUUGCUCAACAUCGUGAGCAAUCAGAGAAAUGCAUAUCAAAACUAUAUUUACUAGGGUGACUAAAAUAAAAAUGACAGACAAAAACAAGUAUUAGUAAGGCUGUGGAGAAAUUGGAACCCUCAUACACUGCUUAUGGUAAUGUAAAAUGGUGCAGCCACUUUCAAAAACAGUUUGGCAGUUCUUGAAGAAGUUAAACAUAGGGGAUCCCUGGGUGGCUCAGCAGUUUGGCGCCUGCCUUUGGCCCAGGGUGCGAUCCUGGAGUCCCGGGAUUGAGUCCCACAUCAGGCUCCUGGUAUGGAGCCUGCUUCUCCUUCCUCCUGUGUCUCUGCCACUCUCUCUCUCUUUCUCUCUCUCUCUCUCUAUCAUAAAUAAAUAAAUAAAUAAAUAAAUAAAUAAAUAAAUAUUAAAAAAAAGAAGUUAAACAUAGAGUUAUCUAUGUUAUCUAUGGCCCAAGAAUUCCUACGUAUAUAGUUCAGAAAUUUGAAAAUAUACAUCCAUGCAUAAGCUAGAGUACAAAUGUUUAUUCAUAAUAACCCCAAAGGAGAAACAAUCCAGUGUUCAUCAACUGAUGAACAGAUAAACAAAAUGUGAUCUAUCCAUCAAAUGGAAUAUUAUUUGGCAAUAAAAAGAAUUAUAGUAUUGAUACAUGCUAAAACAUGAAUGAAUCUUGAGCAAGAUUAGCCCACAUGCAAAGUUGGAGGGAGCAGUCUACAAGAGAUUACCUUCACUUUUAAGACUAAUCACAAAUUGGGAGUUCCUAAAGCCCUCUUAAAUUUGAUCAUUCAUUAGAGGGACAGAACUCACUGAAAGGUGUUAUCCUCAUGAUUUAUUACAGGAAAAGGUUCUAGAUUAAAAUCAGCCAAGGAAAGAAGUGCAUAGGGCGGAGUCCAGGAGGAUUCCAUAUGAAGCAACCAGUUGACCUCUCCCUAUGUAACCAGGACAGCAUUGCUUUCCUGGCAUUGGUAUAGACAAUAUUCAGGGAGUACUGCCAACCAGGGAAGCUCACCUGAGCCCUGAUGUCCAAAGUUUUUACUCGGCCUCCAUCAUGUAGGUAUGUCUGAUUGCUUUUGUGGUUGAUCUCAGUCUCUAGCCCCUGCAGACAUCUACUGAUACCGGGUGACCUCAAGCCCACACUAAAUCACAUUGCUGGUCUUUCUGGUCAGCCCCCACCCUAAGACUAUUUGAUGUGGGAAGCCUCCACCCUAAACCAUAUUUUUAGACUAUCCAGUGCCCUAAACUCGGAGGCAAACAAAAAUACUCUGAUUAAGCAUGAUAUUUCACAAGUUUAGAGAUUACUUCCCAGAAGCUGAAGACAAAAGCCAGAUCUCUGGCCAAGGUGAAAUUCUUGACUACAGAAACCUUGGAAACAUGUUAAGUGAAAGAAGCCACUCACAAAAGGCCAGAUAUAAUUCCAUUCAUAUGAAAUUUCCAGAAUAGACAAAUGCAUAGAGACAAAAAGUAGAUUAAUAGUUACUGCGGAGGAGGGGGCUAGUGCUGGCUGGUUUAGUCUGUAAAGCAUGGGACUCUUGUCCAUCUCAGCAUUGUGAGUUCAAGCCCCAUAUUGGGCACAGAGCUCACUGAAAAAAAAAAAAAAAGUUACCUGGGGCUGGUUUGUGUGGGGAUGGAGGAUGGGAAAAGUGAGUGACUGCUAAUAGGUAAAGGAUUUCUUGUCAGAGUGUUGAAAAAUUCUAUAGUGCUGAUGGUGACACAAUUCUGUGAAUAUACUAAAAACCACCGAUCUGUAUACUUUAAAAGGUGAAUUUUAUGGAAUGUGAAAUAUAUUUCAAUAAAGCUGUAAAAGUGAAGUCAAGUAAAAUGCAAAAUUAAUAAAACGAAUAAAUAAGUGAAU
Nyctereutes procyonoides (raccoon dog) is the source of this 3915-nucleotide long non-coding RNA. RefSeq lists it as uncharacterized. NCBI's taxonomy places the organism in Eukaryota, Metazoa, Chordata, Mammalia, Carnivora, Canidae. The record is from RefSeq and is a predicted model, not a curated record. The transcript has 3 exons.